GGGAUUGCCCCAGUAACGGCGAGUGAAGCGGCAACAGCUCAAAUUUGAAAUCUGGCCCCCCCCGGGGGGCCCGAGUUGUAAUUUGCAGAGGAUGCUUUGGGCGAGGCGCCUUCCGAGUUCCCUGGAACGGGACGCCACAGAGGGUGAGAGCCCCGUCUGGUCGGACGCCGAGCCUCUGUAAAGCUCCUUCGACGAGUCGAGUAGUUUGGGAAUGCUGCUCAAAAUGGGAGGUAUAUGUCUUCUAAAGCUAAAUACCGGCCAGAGACCGAUAGCGCACAAGUAGAGUGAUCGAAAGAUGAAAAGCACCUUGAAAAGGGGGUUAAACAGUACGUGAAAUUGUUGAAAGGGAAGCGCUCGUGACCAGACUUGGGGCGGGCGGAUCAGCCGGCGUUCUCGCCGGCGCACUCCGCCCGUCCCAGGCCAGCAUCAGUUCGCGCCGGGGGACAAAGGCGGCGGGAACGUGGCUCCCCAGGGAGUGUUAUAGCCCGCCGCGCCAUGCCCCGGGGGCGGACUGAGGGCCGCGCAUCACUGCAAGGAUGCUGGCGUAAUGGUCACCAGCGACCCGUCUUGAAACACGGGCCAAGGAGUCGUCCUCGUAUGCGAGUGUUCGGGUGUCAAACCCCUACGCGGAAUGAAAGUGAACGUGGGUGAGAGCUUCGGCGCAUCAUCGACCGAUCCUGAUGUUCUCGGAUGGAUUUGAGUAGGAGCAUACGGGGCCGGACCCGAAAGAAGGUGAACUAUGCCUGUGUAGGGUGAAGCCAGAGGAAACUCUGGUGGAGGCUCGCAGCGGUUCUGACGUGCAAAUCGAUCGUCAAACAUGGGCAUGGGGGCGAAAGACUAAUCGAA
RNAcentral lists this ribosomal RNA (846 nucleotides) under Aschersonia sp. JZQ-2014a. RNAcentral's name for it is "eukaryotic LSU rRNA". It matches the Rfam family "Eukaryotic large subunit ribosomal RNA", at positions 71 to 939 of the family's 3401-position model. The record is from RNAcentral. Lineage: Eukaryota; Fungi; Ascomycota; Sordariomycetes; Hypocreales; Clavicipitaceae.